AGUCUUAUAUUCAAAUAAUGAUAUAAAAUUGCAAAUUUUAAGGUGUAAUAAUACUAAGGCUU
This 62-nucleotide transfer RNA is filed under the name Athyma kanwa. RNAcentral's name for it is "tRNA-Cys". The record is from RNAcentral. Lineage: Eukaryota; Metazoa; Arthropoda; Insecta; Lepidoptera; Nymphalidae.